This 502-nucleotide ribosomal RNA is filed under the name uncultured soil bacterium. RNAcentral's name for it is "bacterial SSU rRNA". It matches the Rfam family "Bacterial small subunit ribosomal RNA", at positions 34 to 540 of the family's 1533-position model. The record is from RNAcentral.
AGGACGAACGCUGGCGGCGUGCUUAACACAUGCAAGUCGAGGGGGCCCGCAAGGGUCACCGGCGAACGGGUGCGUAACACGUGAGCAACCUGCCACAGAGUGGGGGAUAGCCGGCCCAACGGCCGGGUAAUACCGCAUACGAUCCUCUCGGGACAUCCCGUAAGGAUGAAAGAUUUAUCGCUCUGUGAGGGGCUCGCGGCCUAUCAGCUAGUUGGUGCGGUAACGGCGCACCAAGGCGACGACGGGUAGCUGGUCUGAGAGGAUGGCCAGCCACAUUGGGACUGCGACACGGCCCAGACUCCUACGGGAGCAGCAGUGGGAAUCUUGCGCAAUGGGCGAAAGCCUGACGCAGCGACGCCGCGUGGGGAGAAGGUUUCGGAUCGUAAACCCUGUUGCCCGGACGAAUCCCUGCUUUGGCAAGGUUGACGGUACGGUGAGGAGCACCGGCUAACUCCGUGCCAGCAGCCGCGGUAACUCGAGACGGCGGUCGCGACGACGGCGA